CUUGUAUUGAACAUAUGGUGUUUUAGAGUGUGACAUAUGUACAUGAAUUUGAGUAUGAUGCUCUCUAUUUGCAGGUCACGUAUAUUCGAUAUGUUGCACUCAGUUCCUAAGUUUGGAGUUUACCACAUAUUUCUUUGUUUUACAGCUUGAUUCCGGUCUGUUAAUGUCUACUGGUUUGACGUUUCUUAGUUACUGCUUGGAUAUUUUGCUUUGGGUCUUCGGUUCAGAAGGCAAAGAAGAG
This is a non-coding RNA of Pelobates cultripes (western spadefoot toad), 241 nucleotides long. Lineage: Eukaryota; Metazoa; Chordata; Amphibia; Anura; Pelobatidae. The record is from the annotation of a GenBank genome assembly.